Molecule: ribosomal RNA, 945 nt
Filed under: Ustilago bullata
Lineage: Eukaryota; Fungi; Basidiomycota; Ustilaginomycetes; Ustilaginales; Ustilaginaceae
Description: LSU rRNA
Rfam family: Eukaryotic large subunit ribosomal RNA
Source: RNAcentral
GCAUAUCAAUAAGCGGAGGAAAAGAAACUAACAAGGAUUCCCCUAGUAACGGCGAGUGAAGAGGGAAGAGCCCAAGAUUGAAAGCUGGCGUCUUUGGCGUCCGCAUUGUAAUCUCAAGAAGUGUUUUCCGCUUCGGACCAUGCCUAAGUCCCUUGGAAAAGGGCAUCAUAGAGGGUGAUAAUCCCGUACAUGGCAUGGAGCGCCCGAAGCUUUGUGAUACACUUUCUAAGAGUCGAGUUGUUUGGGAAUGCAGCUCAAAAUGGGUGGUAAAUGCCAUCUAAGGCUAAAUAUUGGGGAGAGACCGAUAGCGAACAAGUACAGUGAUGGAAAGAUGAAAAGAACUUUGAAAAGAGAGUUAAACAGUACGUGAAAUUGCCAAAAGGGAAGGGUAGGAGGUCAGAGAUGCGGUCUGGGAUUCAGCCUUGCUUUUGCUGGGUGUUUUUCUCAGAUUGCAGGCCAACGUCGGUUUUGGGCGCUGGAGAAGGGUGGAAGGAAUGUGGCACCUCUCGGGGUGUGUUAUAGCCUUCUACUGGAUACAGUGACCGAGACCGAGGACAGCAGCGUACUCGCAAGAGCGGGCCUUCGGGCACCUUUACGCUUAGGGCGUUGGCAUAAUGGCCCUCUACCACCCGUCUUGAAACACGGACCAAGGAGUCUAACAUGUAUGCGAGUCUUUGGGUGGCAAACCCAUAGGCGCAAUGAAAGUGAAUUCAGGUGGGAUCCGCAAGGUGCACCAUCGACCGAUCCUCACGUCUUUUUAAGUCGUGGAUUUGAGUAAGAGCAUACCUGUUGGGACCCGAAAGAUGGUGAACUAUGCCUGAAUAGGGUGAAGCCAGAGGAAACUCUGGUGGAGGCUCGUAGCGGUUCUGACGUGCAAAUCGAUCGUCAAAUUUGGGUAUAGGGGCGAAAGACUAAUCGAACCAUCUAGUAGCUGGUUCCUGCCGA